CCGCCCGUCACACCAUGGGAAGUGGGCUGCAAAAGAAAGUAGGUAGUUUAACCUUCGGGGGGACGCUUACCACUUUGUGGUUCAUGACUGGGGUGAAGUCGUAACAAGGUAGCGCUAGGGGAACCUGGCGCUGGAUCACCUCCUUA
RNAcentral lists this ribosomal RNA (146 nucleotides) under Vibrio alginolyticus 12G01. RNAcentral describes it as "partial 16S ribosomal RNA". It matches the Rfam family "Bacterial small subunit ribosomal RNA", at positions 1390 to 1533 of the family's 1533-position model. Lineage: Bacteria; Pseudomonadati; Pseudomonadota; Gammaproteobacteria; Vibrionales; Vibrionaceae. The record is from RNAcentral.